UCUCCUCAUCUUCUGCCACUGCCGCUCUCCAUCGGCUGGCCAACUCCCUCAGUUCUACCCCUCCCCACACGAGCACCUCCCAAUCCUCCUCCUCUGUGUGUGUGCGCGCGCACGCGUGCUUGAUUCGGAUUCACCCCUUUUCUGGCUGCAGCAUAGAGGAGAGCUCACUGCUGCGGUGGGCAUUGAUAGUGGAGAGCUGGGAGCCGGCUAGAUCCUCGCCAACGAGGGCCGUCAUGGCCUCCACCUCUGUCCUGUUGCCGGUGGACUGCUGGACGUCGAUACAUCGAUACGGUCUCCUACAACUAGAGGAGCGAAAACUUACAGCAGCAUCUCCGGCACCCUCCUGACCAUGACCACUAUGUUGACAAGAAAGGUUCAGCUGAUAAGACAAUUAUUUUUUGGGACCUUGGGACUUUUGACUUGAUUGGAUCCUCUGGACAGGAGAUUGAAAUGUUUUCUUCUAGAUACUCAAGCAUGGGAGGCAGCAUGGAUUUAUUUAUGAAAGGUGGCAGACACAACCAUGAGGUGUUCACACACAUUUACCUGCAUUCUUAUCUUGACCAUGGGAGCCAAUUCUGAUACAUGCCGACAGUACAGAAAUGUACGAUCAUGAGAGAGAGGACUAAGGCUAUAGAAUUUGUGACUAUGUAUAAGGGCUCUUCAUCAAGUGUGUGCACUGUACUUUAUGAAUUUUUAUUUGUGAAUUUUUUCAUGAUAUGUUGCACAAUGUCGCAGAAUGUAACAUGAAAAAGAA
Molecule: long non-coding RNA, 754 nt
Organism: Triticum dicoccoides
Lineage: Eukaryota; Viridiplantae; Streptophyta; Magnoliopsida; Poales; Poaceae
Exons: 3
Source: RefSeq, a predicted model, not a curated record